AGGUGCAAUCAUACCAGCACUAAUGCACCUAAUCCCAUGAGAACUCCACAGAUAAGCGUGCUUGGGCAAGAGUACUACUAGGAUGGGUGAGCUUCGGGGAAGUCCUCGUGUUGCACCUC
This 119-nucleotide ribosomal RNA is filed under the name Lupinus angustifolius (narrow-leaved blue lupine). Lineage: Eukaryota; Viridiplantae; Streptophyta; Magnoliopsida; Fabales; Fabaceae. The record is from RNAcentral.